CCUUCUAACCAUUUUCUUUCUCUCCAGUGGAGAGCUUAGUUUGGGUUUAGUGUUCUCUGAUGAGUUAGGCAACCUGUUAUUUUCAUGAGUGGUCUGGGAAUUCUUCAGUGGAGUACGAAUUCUUCCAAAUUCCGAGCCUAUUGUCCUUGUCUAUGACCUUUAGCCCCAGUUGAAGACUUUUCCUAGUCUCCUGUUGUUUGGCUUCAGGACACUCUGCCAAACCCAGUACUACAAAGCCUUCUGAGCUUUGGCAUCACGGUUCAGCCUCAUCCCUGGACGAGCGUUUGCUCUUUUUUUCCAUAACUAAUAGUAAUGAGGGUUAGCACAGUUACCAAGUCAGAUCCCAAGACGACAUCGAAAUCACAAUGCUGGAUUUGUGACGUCACUCUCAAUUCUUUCCAGAUGGUUUCUCAGACUGAUCAAAAAGAAGAUGAGGCCAGUGUAUGUGAGUGGAAAAGUAGAUCUUCAAACAGAAAGAGGGUUCGGGAAUAAAAAGUAUAAUAAUAAUGUAAAGAUCACAAAACAACCAUAGAUUGCUCAAUGGGCAGCGAUGAGGAAGAUACUCAUCGGCCCUGGGCUCGGUGUCUGAUGCUCACAUGAUAUAAUGAAGAGCAGGGAAUGGAAUUUCAAGGAACAAUGUGAUCCUCUGAGUUGUCCCAGAACAACGAAGCACAAACGCUUGUCACUUGCUGCCUUUCCAGACACGGGAUACGAGGAACUCUCUACCAGCUCACCCUUUAGGGACCCAUCUCCAAAAGGAGUCUCCCUUGGGUUCAAAUCAUUUCCCUUGCUGAUUUUAAGUUUCUUCUCUCCUGCCCCCCAAAUCCUGAAUUUAAUCAAGUGACUCUUCAGAAAAUAUCUUGAUAACCUCAUGGUCAAGUGUGGAGCUUCUUAGGCUCAGUGAGAUACUUUGAAAAGAAUUUCCCGUGUAUAUUUUCUCUUGGCAAUUUUUUUUGUAUGAUUAUUGAAGUAUUUUCCUUAGGAGAGCUUCGUUACCAAGAAAUAAACUUAACACAUUUUCUCAGAAAUAUAGACAAUCGGGUAAUAAAAGUGGUAUUACAGUACAC
This is a non-coding RNA of Peromyscus maniculatus bairdii (prairie deer mouse), 1067 nucleotides long. The record is from RefSeq and is a predicted model, not a curated record. Lineage: Eukaryota; Metazoa; Chordata; Mammalia; Rodentia; Cricetidae.